UGACACAUACUCCCUGCUAUACGACGAAUCCACCGUUAAAGGUGUCUAAGGUCGUUUCAUUUCCCACUGCGCGUUUGCCUAAAUUGUGUGGCACUGAUUUGUGAUUUGUGAUAAGCCCAAAAACCAAUCAGAGUGGCUCAGAAAAAUACACGUAUUUACCAUCCAGUUGAAUCCGCGGACAAAGAGAACUGCCUAAACUGUGGAAUGGAAUGUUAAACAUGUAAGCAAAUUGCGUGGCUUAUUAAAACAUGCUUAGUAAUAUGACAAAGUAGCCGAAAGCAGAACACAAAUGUAACAAAAA
Long non-coding RNA from Drosophila innubila, 301 nucleotides. RefSeq lists it as uncharacterized. The record is from RefSeq and is a predicted model, not a curated record. The transcript is spliced from 2 exons. Lineage: Eukaryota; Metazoa; Arthropoda; Insecta; Diptera; Drosophilidae.